AUUGAACGCUGGCGGCAGGCCUAAAACAUGCAAGUCGAACGAGUGGCAGACGGGUGAGUAAUGUCUGGGAAACUGCCCGAUUGAGGGGGAUAACUACUUGAAACGGUAGCUACUCCCGCAUAACAUCGUAUGUUCCCAGAUGGGAUUAGCUAGUAGGUGGUUUAACGGAUCACCUAGGCGACGAUCCCUAGCUGGUCUGAGAGGAUGACAUGCCACACUGGAACUGGAACACGGUCCAGACUCCUACGGGAGGCAGCAGGGGGGAAUAGUGCACAAUGGGCGAGAGCCUGAGGGAGCCAUGCAGCGUGUAUGAAGAAGGACUUCGGGUUGUAAAGUACUUUCAGCGAGGAAGCGUUACUCGCAGAAGAAGCACCGGCUAACUCCGUGCCAGCAGCCGCGGUAAUAC
This 406-nucleotide ribosomal RNA is filed under the name uncultured bacterium. RNAcentral's name for it is "partial 16S ribosomal RNA". It matches the Rfam family "Bacterial small subunit ribosomal RNA", at positions 30 to 526 of the family's 1533-position model. The record is from RNAcentral.